UCCGCGGGGCCUGGGGCUCGCCCGGGGCUUCCGCGGGCUGGUUUGCUUGGAAACAGGUAGCUUUUGUGCUGAAUACACGUGAAUAAUAAUGGUCACGCUCGAAAGCGAUGCCGUCUCUGCGUCCUGGCAAAGAGGGAUCCUGCAAUAUCUUUUUAAAGUGCGGUUUGCCACCUGGAUGCAAAUAAAAUCUUCAUUAGUAAGAGUUACACGCUUCUUGAAGCACUUCUAACAACGUGGUGAAGCUCUCCUCCCACCUGCUGCCUUGAAAUGUACUGCCUACAAAUGAUCAGCCCUUGGGUUUCUCUGUAAAGGGACAUCUCUGACUGUGGGCUUAAUUUUCUGUGGUAGAAUGCUCUUUUUAGCCUCAGUAUUUAGCAGGUUAGAUGGAUAAUAGUGUAUCUGCAGUUAUCUAAGGGCAAGGGGUUUAAAAAAAUAUUGGUUGGAUUAUUUAAGUCCUCAAGGAGUCAAGACACGCUCCUGGACAUUACCUGGAGCUCACACAACUUUUGAAGACACUGAUCUGUAACUGCUUUCACACCUCUAUGAUAUUCACUGUGGAGUGAAUCCUUUUUUAAACGAUCUUUUCUAAGAAACAAAAUGUUUUAAUGACAUUGAUGUCAUCUUAUUUUCCAAAUCGUCUGGAUCAGAGCCCUUGGUGUGGAAGGGAAGGGGUACUAGGACUGCUCUGUAUAAUUGUCUUGCCUUUUGCCCUGACUUGGUGAUGGGUUUGUCUAGAGACUGGAGGCUCAUUCAACAGCUGCAGUGCAGACCUGGGGCAGAAAUGUGGGAAUUGUGUUGAGAGGAGGAGAGUGAAUGCUUGGCAAGGUCUGUGCUUCCCUUGUCACCUGUAUCGUUCUAUGCCAAACUGGGUCUGAAAUUUAUAAUGCUGUUUAGCUUUGUGAUAUGAACUGUCAACUGGUAAUGAGUGAAUUUGUAGUUGGGUUUUUUUUUGGUGGACCCACAGGUAUAAUUUGCAGGGAGAGGCUGAUGAGGCUCUGGGGAAGGUAGGAGAUCCAGCUCUGUCUUAGGAGAGCCAGUAGUAUUUUUUGAAGAUAUACAAUACAGAUGCUAUCUAGGCACAUUGCCUAAGGCUGCUUUCAUUUUCCAAAUGGAGCUACGUUUGUAGCUAAGAUCAGAAUUUGUUAGGAUUAUCAAUUCCUGGUGAAACUUUCAGUUAAUACACAAAAUAAGGACUGUUAUUUAUGACAUCUGAGUCUUUGGAGACUGGAAACAAGCACUUUAAAGUUUAGACUGUUGCUGGUUCCAGUGAACCUGAAUGCAACAGCCUCAUCAAUUCAGUUGGGGCAAGGUGAUGUUUUAUGGAUUGAUACAUUAUAUCUGUUUACAGUCUAAAUAACAGAGCAUUUCCCAAAUAUUCUGAGUGCUGUUAUUUCUGUCUGUCUUCACUUUGAAAACUCAGGUCUCUUAUUGAGGAGACUGUGUAGAAAAACCAUAAAAAUACAUAAAUUCACUGUAUUUUGUGAAUAAUAUGUACUUUGAGAGAAGAGCCCAGUUACCCAAUUAGUAUAACAGAACAUUUAAGGAUUAUUUUGUCACUCUUUUUUUUUUUAAAUUAUGAAUAUAUUUUGCAUUUCCAUCAGGCUUAUUUUGAAAAUUCACCAGUUCUAUUUAUCUGACCUUACACUAUUUCAAAAAUAAAACAGUGCUUUUCAGGGGAAACAUUUUGUUUAGUUGUUGAUUUGUUUGUGGUGGGGUUUUAAUUUUUUUUCUUUUUUUUGUUUCCUGCAAGAAUCUUUUUUUGUGCUGUGGGUGUGUGAAAUUUUGUGAGCCUAAGUCUAUCCAGACUCUGUAAAACCCUUCAGGACUAGGUGCUGGAGAAGUUAAGAGGUUUAGUAAUGGGAACAGUAAGUUAACAACUAUAAAAUAUUUGUUGAGGUGACAGUUUUCCAUUUAUGUAAUACAUACAUAUAUAUAUAUAUAUAUACACACAUACAUAUAUAUAUGCAGUUUAUUUUACAGAAGAAACUUUAGGAAAUCACACUAGAUCCACUACUUGUUAGUUUUCUGGCUCUUCCAUUCAGUCCAGGGCAAUUGGCAGACUUGGCCCUUAGACUGAAAUUUCUUGCUACAGCUUGACAUUCCCAUGGUCAGCAAGAAUAUUCAAAUUUCAGUGGUAAAAUCUGUUUACAAGAGACACAGAAACACCUGCAAAUAGUCUAGGAGGGAAGAGUCAAGCCCUCAUAUUCCAAGAUGUGAAGUACCUGCUGUCUACUGCAAGUAAUACUCAUGUGAGUGGAUUUUCCCCGAGGGUAACUCUUACUAUAAAUAGGAUCUCUUGGCUGUAUUGGUCACGCUGCUGGUGACAGGAGAGCUCAGCCCAGGCUUGGCUUGUUAGAGUUAUUAGGAAAAUAAAAUUUCAGGUAAGCAGUGUUCUAGAAUUUUAGAAUCAAAGUAUUUCUGUUGUAAAAAUACAUAAAUGUAUUCACAUGAGCUGUAAGCUGUAUGUGUCUAAAAUGGAGAUACACUUUAAAAUAGUAAAUAAAUGAACACUGGUCCAAUAAGAUGGAAAUAAUCUUACAAAAACUUCCUUAAAUUAAGCAGAAGCAGCCAUGCAUUUCUGCUGUAUAUUAUGUGGGCACACUAAACAUUCCACUGCACAUUUACAUUACUGACUAUUACAGUUAGUGAUGUUUAGCUGCUGUGUCUUUCCUGGCUUUCCAGGGAUCCACUUCAGCCCUCUGGAGAAAAGGAAGCUGGGAAAUCUGAAGAACCAUCUCACCCUGAGGGGCAUUCCAUUGAUGUUUGCAAACUCUAUUUUGCUCUUGUUAAAGCACCUGUUGUGGAGGUACAGCUGUGUGGUAAUUGUUCAAGCUUGACACAACCCCUUCCAGUUUCAAGUCUUACCAGUGGUGUGGAUUAUCUUUGGGCACAUUUUUAUUUCAGGGCUUUGCUUUGGGUAUCUAGGUAUUUUUGAGAACAAGUGCUGUUUUUCAAGCUGGGAAUAGAUAAUUAAAUAAUUUUAAAUGUUCUUUAUGAUGGAGAAAGCCAUUUUUGAUGGAUGUGUGCUUUCUUGGGAUCUUCUGGUAAUAUGUGCUGCUCCUUUAUUGAGAGAAUAGUUUGCCAGGUUCCUGAGAUAGGAAAGGCCUCAGGCUGACUGCAAAGUAGUAUUUCCUGAAAUCUGUCUAGGCAAGCAUUCCCCAGCAGCCCAGACUCUUUCUGUUUUCUGUGGCAGUGACUUUAAAUGUUAUCCUGAGAUUUGUUUCCUCUCACAUAAUUCUUGGCAGUGGCAUUCGUUAAGGGAAUUACAAUAAACCUAGAGUUGUAAAUGGCCUUGAUACAAAGAUGCUUCAUGAGCCAGUUCUUCUGCAGGGCUAUUGUUCUUGCACAGUAAAAAUGAUACGUGCUUUCUUGUGAGGGCAUAAUUGCUUCUUGAAAGAGGCUAAUUUCUUGAAAUAAAGUGCAAAGAGACUCAGAGGCAAUUAUUAAUGUGUAGCCAGAGACUACUACAGCUUUUUUAAGUGGAGGCUGCAGUAAAGUGAAGGAGGAACAUGAAAGUUGUCUUUACAUUGGUAUUUUCAGUCAAAAGUUUUACGCACAGAACUUUUUUCUCAGGAGCAGGUAGCUUUGUGUACAGCUUGGCUGAGCCCAGGAAAGCAGAUCACUUGCCAAAUUGUGUCAGUUCUUGGGAGCAACGCAGCCAGCAAAUUCCUGAUCCCAACAGUUCUGCACAAGGCUUUUAAAAGCUGUUCUGCAGCAGUGCAUCAGGCCAGCCUGACUAAAACCUGUUAUUAAUGAAACAGCAUGUUUUGAUGUUUGUUCAUUUCAGGCAUUCUGCAAGGUUUUUUGUCAAUAUUUGUAAAACUCCUGGAAUUUCACCACCUCAAAGUCUGUCUUCCAAAAGAGCAUUAGCUGGACUUCAUUUUGUAAUUGGUCCAGCUUUUUUUCUUUUCCAGUUAUCUUAUGAAUUUAAAAAGCUUUUGUGCCAUAAUUUUUAGAUUACUCAAAUUCUUAAACAUCUGAAAUGUUACUGUGCUUUUAUUAAGUGAAUUUCUGCCCUGUAAUGUCCUUUUAAGUUUUGCUUUUUUACAAAAAUCCAUAUUUUCUGUAAUAUCUGGAAGAGUAGGGUUUUGGCUUUUUGGUUGUAUUCAUUAGCUUGAGUGCACCAAGUUUUAAUAAAUGCUUCACUUUGAUUUAU
This is a long non-coding RNA of Parus major (Great Tit), 4156 nucleotides long. RefSeq lists it as uncharacterized. The record is from RefSeq and is a predicted model, not a curated record. The transcript is spliced from 2 exons. NCBI's taxonomy places the organism in Eukaryota, Metazoa, Chordata, Aves, Passeriformes, Paridae.